This 492-nucleotide ribosomal RNA is filed under the name uncultured bacterium. RNAcentral's name for it is "partial 16S ribosomal RNA". It matches the Rfam family "Bacterial small subunit ribosomal RNA", at positions 29 to 507 of the family's 1533-position model. The record is from RNAcentral.
AGUGAACGCUGGCGGUAGGCCUAACACAUGCAAGUCGAACGGCAGCACAGUAAGAGCUUGUUCUUACGGGUGGCGAGUGGCGGACGGGUGAGGAAUACAUCGGAAUCUACUUUUUCGUGGGGGAUAACGUAGGGAAACUUACGCUAAUACCGCAUACGACCUACGGGUGAAAGCAGGGGAUCUUCGGACCUUGCGCGAUUGAAUGAGCCGAUGUCGGAUUAGCUAGUUGGCGGGGUAAAGGCCCACCAAGGCGACGAUCCGUAGCUGGUCUGAGAGGAUGAUCAGCCACACUGGAACUGAGACACGGUCCAGACUCCUACGGGAGGCAGCAGUGGGGAAUAUUGGACAAUGGGCGCAAGCCUGAUCCAGCCAUGCCGCGUGGGUGAAGAAGGCCUUCGGGUUGUAAAGCCCUUUUGUUGGGAAAGAAAAGCAGCAGGUUAAUACCCCGCUGUUCUGACGGUACCCAAAGAAUAAGCACCGGCUAACUUCGUG